AAAGUCGUGCCAGGGAAAUCUGAGUUUCUGCUCGGGGCCCCAGCGGCUCCUCCGAUCUCUGGAUACUUUAUGGAACAUCCUUUGCCCCUGCUCCCCUCAGUCCCCAAAGGAAAAUAAAUCCUCGGCCAAAUGAGACAUGACGCCGUGAACAGAAGAACGUCUCCAGAUCGUCCCAGCUGGCGCAGGCAGGGCCGGGCCAGAGGUGCCGCGUGGGUAACGGCUGCGGCCAGCCCGCAGCUCAGAACUGUCACCCUGGGCACGGCCACCACCGCCCCGGGUGCAGAGAGCGUCGCCCUCUGCAGAGCUGGGACCGGUGCGGCGCCAAAGAAGCCUUUGUGUUUCUCUCUGGCCCUUCCUGCCAACCAGGGAUAAAACGAACUCCUCGUAAUUUCUGCCUUACAAUAUUGCUCGAUGUGUCCCACCCCUGAUUCUCAGCAGUGCAGCCUCUCGGCCCCACCCCCACCGCCUACCCCUGCCGUCCUGGUGAACACAAUCGAGCAAGGCAGUGAAGCAAAAAUCAUUAGGUGGCUGGACUCAGACACAUCACGCUCCAGUUUGGGUUCCAAGGUGCUUCUCUCUGGAUUUUCACCUGCCUUGCCAAAAAUGAUUGAUUACGCCGGGCCGACUGGGUGUCCGGCAAUACCCAACAAAUGACUUUGGCCCCUAACAGCAGGCCUUGGCCAGAUAGAAAUCAAUAUUUCACCAUUAAAAUCUAUCAAAGAAGAGUUAAGGCACCAUCUGUCCCUGCCGCCUCUCUAUGCAAGCCAACCAAGAGGAGAAACAAUGACUGUGCCCUUGAGGGCAGCAUGGGUGGACCUAAGAACCUGCACAACAACAACGGCUGCCAUUUGCGGCAUACCAACCUGUUCCGGGCACAAAGGGUCCCCGCGUCUCCCCACAGCAGUUU
Molecule: long non-coding RNA, 907 nt
Organism: Suricata suricatta (meerkat)
Lineage: Eukaryota; Metazoa; Chordata; Mammalia; Carnivora; Herpestidae
Exons: 4
Source: RefSeq, a predicted model, not a curated record